Molecule: non-coding RNA, 142 nt
Filed under: chicken gut metagenome
Description: glmS glucosamine-6-phosphate activated ribozyme
Rfam family: glmS glucosamine-6-phosphate activated ribozyme aptamer
About the family: This entry contains a glucosamine-6-phosphate activated ribozyme that is found in the mRNA for GlmS. GlmS is an enzyme that uses fructose-6-phosphate and glutamine to generate glucosamine-6-phosphate.
Source: RNAcentral
UGUUUUAGCGCCAGGCUCUGCGGUUUUACUUUUAAGCAGAGUGACGAGGAGAGAAACUAUCGAAAUUUUCGGCGGGUGUUUCUCCGGCAGAUCCAAUGUCGUAAGGACGUAUACAAAAACAUGCCGUAUGAAAGGUGUGAGA